Molecule: ribosomal RNA, 555 nt
Filed under: Pseudophanerotoma sp. RK218
Lineage: Eukaryota; Metazoa; Arthropoda; Insecta; Hymenoptera; Braconidae
Description: eukaryotic LSU rRNA
Rfam family: Eukaryotic large subunit ribosomal RNA
Source: RNAcentral
GAAGAUUCAUCGUCAAAAUGUUUGGCAUUAGCGCAUGUUAUGAUAUGGUAAAUAAUCCUUGUGGUUAGUAUAUUGUACAUUCUUGUGCUAUUCUGCUUGAUAUGUCGGCGUGCACUUCUCCUCUAGUAGAACGUCGCAACCCGUUGGAUGUUGAUUUAUGGCCUGAAUGGUUGACUUUGACAUUGCUUGCAUUGUCGGAGACCUUUGGUGUUCUAAUCAUCUGUUCGACGGUACUCAUAUGGUGUACAGUCGCUCAAUUGCGUUAAAUCCGUUGCAAGUGUGGUUGAUAAUCGGCAGUACGGAUCUGAUGCCGUCGCUGAUUUUAACUCGCUGUUAGCAAAUGGUGUUCUUUAACUGACUUAUACCGGUUAGCGAUGCUACUGCUUUGGGUACUUUCAGGACCCGUCUUGAAACACGGACCAAGGAGUCUAACAUGUGCGCGAGUCAUUGGGAUUUUUUAAAACAAACCUAAAGGCACAAUGAAAGUAAAGGUUGUCGUAUGACAACUUAGGGAAGAUGGGUGACGUUACGAUGUCGUCCCGCAUUCCCGGGGCA